UGGGGAUUAGCCAAGCGGUAAGGCAACGGACUUUGACUCUGUCAUGCCUAGGUUCGAAUCCUAGAUCCCCAG
Paenibacillus mucilaginosus 3016 is the source of this 72-nucleotide transfer RNA. It matches the Rfam family "tRNA". Rfam says of the family: Transfer RNA (tRNA) molecules are approximately 80 nucleotides in length. Their secondary structure includes four short double-helical elements and three loops (D, anti-codon, and T loops). Further hydrogen bonds mediate the characteristic L-shaped molecular structure. tRNAs have two regions of fundamental functional importance: the anti-codon, which is responsible for specific mRNA codon recognition, and the 3' end, to which the tRNAs corresponding amino acid is attached (by aminoacyl-tRNA synthetases). tRNAs cope with the degeneracy of the genetic code in two manners: having more than one tRNA (with a specific anti-codon) for a particular amino acid; and 'wobble' base-pairing, i.e. permitting non-standard base-pairing at the 3rd anti-codon position. Lineage: Bacteria; Bacillati; Bacillota; Bacilli; Caryophanales; Paenibacillaceae. The record is from Rfam.